UACGAAGGGGGCUAGCGUUGUUCGGAUUUACUGGGCGUAAAGCGCACGUAGGCGGAUAUUUAAGUCAGAGGUGAAAUCCCAGGGCUCAACCGUGGAAUUGCCUUUGAUACUGGAUAUCUAGAGUAUGGCAGAGGUGAGUGGAAUUCCGAGUGUAGAGGUGAAAUUCGUAGAUAUUCGGAGGAACACCAGUGGCGAAGGCGGCUCACUGGGCCAUUACUGACGCUGAGGUGCGAAAGCGUGGGGAGCAAACAGG
RNAcentral lists this ribosomal RNA (253 nucleotides) under uncultured bacterium. RNAcentral's name for it is "partial 16S ribosomal RNA". It matches the Rfam family "Bacterial small subunit ribosomal RNA", at positions 524 to 776 of the family's 1533-position model. The record is from RNAcentral.